CGCUGGCGGCACGCCUAACACAUGCAAGUCGAACGAAGUAGCAAUACUUAGUGGCAGACGGGUGAGUAACAUGUAGGUAUCUGCCCUUUGGCCUGGAAUAACACGAGGAAACUUGUGCUAAUACCGGAUAAGUCUUUACGGAGAAAGCUUUAUGCACCAUUGGAUGAGCCUGCACUUGAUUAGUUUGUUGGUGGGGUAAUGGCCUACCAAGACUGUGAUCAAUAGCUGAUUUGAGAGGAUGAUCAGCCACAUUGGGACUGAGACACGGCCCAAACUCCUACGGGAGGCAGCAGUGGGGAAUCUUGCACAAUGGAGGAAACUCUGAUGCAGCGAUGCCGCGUGAGUGAAGAAGGCCCUUGGGUUGUAAAGCUCUUUCGUCGGGGAAGAAAAUGACUGUACCCGAAUAAGAAGGUCCGGCUAACUUCGUGCCAGCAGCCGCGGUAAUACGAAGGGACCUAGCGUAGUUCGGAAUUACUGGGCUUAAAGAGUUCGUAGGUGGUUGAAAAAGUUAGUGGUGAAAUCCCAGAGCUUAACUCUGGAACUGCCAUUAAAACUUUUCAGCUAGAGUAUGAUAGAGGAAAGCAGAAUUUCUAGUGUAGAGGUGAAAUUCGUAGAUAUUAGAAAGAAUACCAAUUGCGAAGGCAGCUUUCUGGAUCAUUACUGACACUGAGGAACGAAAGCAUGGGUAGCGAAGAGGAUUAGAUACCCUCGUAGUCCAUGCCGUAAACGAUGUGUGUUAGACGUUGGAAAUUUAUUUUCAGUGUCGCAGGGAAACCGAUAAACACACCGCCUGGGGAGUACGACC
This 805-nucleotide ribosomal RNA is filed under the name uncultured Pelagibacteraceae bacterium. RNAcentral's name for it is "bacterial SSU rRNA". It matches the Rfam family "Bacterial small subunit ribosomal RNA", at positions 34 to 887 of the family's 1533-position model. Lineage: Bacteria; Pseudomonadati; Pseudomonadota; Alphaproteobacteria; Candidatus Pelagibacterales; Candidatus Pelagibacteraceae. The record is from RNAcentral.